Molecule: ribosomal RNA, 530 nt
Filed under: uncultured bacterium
Lineage: Bacteria
Description: bacterial SSU rRNA
Rfam family: Bacterial small subunit ribosomal RNA
Source: RNAcentral
UGGGGAAUCUUGGACAAUGGGGGCAACCCUGAUCCAGCCAUGCCGCGUGAGUGAUGAAGGCCUUAGGGUCGUAAAGCUCUUUCGCCUGUGAAGAUAAUGACGGUAGCCGGAGAAGAAGCCCCGGCUAACUCCGUGCCAGCAGCCGCGGUAAUACGGAGGGGGCUAGCGUUGUUCGGAAUUACUGGGCGUAAAGCGCGCGUAGGCGGACUGAUCAGUCAGGGGUGAAAUCCCGGGGCUCAACCCCGGGAACUGCCUUUGAUACUGUCAGUCUUGAGUCCGGAAGAGGCGAGUGGAAUACCGAGUGUAGAGGUGAAAUUCGUAGAUAUUUGGAGGAACACCAGUGGCGAAGGCGGCUCACUGGCUCGAUACUGACGCUGAGGUGCGAAAGUGUGGGGAGCAAACAGGAUUAGAUACCCUGGUAGUCCACACCGUAAACGAUGAAUGCCAGUCGUCGGGUAGCAUGCUAUUCGGUGACACACCUAACGGAUUAAGCAUUCCGCCUGGGAGUACGGUCGCAAGAUUAAAAGCUC